Molecule: ribosomal RNA, 253 nt
Filed under: uncultured bacterium
Lineage: Bacteria
Description: partial 16S ribosomal RNA
Rfam family: Bacterial small subunit ribosomal RNA
Source: RNAcentral
UACAGAGGGGGCAAGCGUUGUUCGGAAUUACUGGGCGUAAAGGGCGCGUAGGCGGCCUGCUAAGUCGAACGUGAAAUCCCUGGGCUCAACCCAGGAACUGCGUCCGAUACUGGUUGGCUUGAAUCCGGGAGAGGGAUGUGGAAUUCCAGGUGUAGCGGUGAAAUGCGUAGAGAUGUGGAGGAAUACCGAUGGCGAAGGCAGCCCCCUGGGAUAACACUGACGCUCAUGCACGAAAGCGUGGGGAGCAAACAGG